Molecule: non-coding RNA, 143 nt
Organism: Caenorhabditis elegans
Lineage: Eukaryota; Metazoa; Nematoda; Chromadorea; Rhabditida; Rhabditidae
Source: Ensembl
CGUUCCGCCUACUUUAUCGUUUUGCAAAAGACGAACUAUCAUUUUCUUCUCGCAAUUUGGAACGAGAAUCUCGAUUCAGUUUUCGGUUCAAAAGAAAGAAAAGAUGCAUAUAUAUAUAUGUAGUGAAUUUAUAGUAAAAACGA